UAAUCAUGCAAUGAUGCAGAGGUAAUCAUGCAUGUCAUCAAUAAUUUUUAUCUGGUGGAACGAGUUUUUGGUGGUAAUCUCGAAAGAAAUACAAAGAGUGAUAAAAGAGAGAAAGAGGUAUUAUACAAAUAUAAAAUGGAAGUUAGAUGGUGAAAAUGUGCACGUUUUAAACAUAAACUUGAAAGAGUACCAUUAUAUUUUCUAGAUCUAUAUAGCUAUCAAACUUGUGGUCUUAACCUGCCAGCCGUCAUUUGGACGGCCACUUUAGAAAGACGGCUUUUGUACGACAGACGACGGAAGAAGAGUGUUGGAAAAAGUACGGUCUGGAGGACGUAGUAAAUGUGUUUGAACAUGCAGGGAAUAGCUUGGAACGCGUUUCUUCGUGCUAUUUAUAUGAUGAAGUUAGAUGUUUAAAUAUAAACAGACAAAGGAACAUCUCCAUAAUCUGAACGGUCACUACUUGGAUGUUAUCCAGAGGACGUUAUCCCGCACCCUCACUAGUAACUCUUGAUAUAUUACUUCAAAAGGAGAGCUUCAGACUGUAAAGCCCAAAGUUUUCUGAGUACCAACCCAUUUUGACUUAUCUUUUUUAUUUGGAAUGAACAAUGUACGAAAGAUACUUUUUUUGCAAAAUGUUGUAUUUGACAAAAGAAGAUUACAAAAC
Non-coding RNA from Paramuricea clavata, 664 nucleotides. Lineage: Eukaryota; Metazoa; Cnidaria; Anthozoa; Malacalcyonacea; Plexauridae. The record is from the annotation of a GenBank genome assembly.